GUGGGGAAUAUUGGACAAUGGGCGAAAGCCUGAUCCAGCCAUGCCGCGUGUGUGAAGAAGGUCUUCGGAUUGUAAAGCACUUUAAGUUGGGAGGAAGGGCAGUAAGUUAAUACCUUGCUGUUUUGACGUUACCAACAGAAUAAGCACCGGCUAACUUCGUGCCAGCAGCCGCGGUAAUACGAAGGGUGCAAGCGUUAAUCGGAAUUACUGGGCGUAAAGCGCGCGUAGGUGGUUUUGUAAGUUGGAGGUGAAAUCCCCGGGCUCAACCUGGGAACUGCCUCCAAAACUGCAUGACUAGAGUACGGUAGAGGGUAGUGGAAGUUCCUGUGUAGCGGUGAAAUGCGUAGAUAUAGGAAGGAACACCAGUGGCGAAGGCGACUACCUGGACUGAUACUGACACUGAGGUGCGAAAGCGUGGGGAGCAAACAGGAUUAGAAACCCGGGUAGUCC
Molecule: ribosomal RNA, 450 nt
Filed under: uncultured bacterium
Lineage: Bacteria
Description: bacterial SSU rRNA
Rfam family: Bacterial small subunit ribosomal RNA
Source: RNAcentral